CAGCACUCAUUAGGUGAAUAAACAAUAUUCACUAUACCUAUAGAGUGGAAUACCACCCAGCAUCCUCUCACAUACAAAGAAAGAACAAAUUGCUGAUAUACACAAAAGUCCAUCAAUCUCAAAAAUCGUCAUGGAGGCCUACAUGCUUACCACCGGUGCUACCGUCAUGUCUCCAGUGAUCCCUGAGAUGUUCCAGCAUAUUUUGCGAGUACUCAACACCAACAACAAUGCGGGGGCGGGGCAUGGAAAACAGUCUCUGCCAUCACUGUCUUUAAGGAUGUAGGUCAAAGGAGUGAAGCCUAGAGCUGUAUUUCUUUGACACAACUGCCAACAGCAUUUUGGGUUAGAUUUCCAAAUUAAGAAGCAUGUAAUACUUGGAAGGCAGAAGAGAAGGAAAUAUCAUCAGCCUCCAUAGAGAACAGAAUGAUUUUGAUCAGCGUGUAGACAUUUUCAAGCCUAUCAUCUAUUUGAUGCUACUACUAGCCAAUGAGAUCACGAGAUUAUUUUCUGGUAUUUCUGCAGCAUCCUGAUAUUUAGAAGUCAGUACAAUGUUCUCCUCCUUUGGCUUCCCCAUUCUUCAGUGGAUUCUGUAAGCCUUGAAUUCCCUAUUAAUUACUAUUUCUGCCUCCUGUGCAUAGGAAAAUAUCUGUGUUCUUAUCUGAACCUCAAGAACAAUGCAUGUAUGAAUUCCCAAAUAUAUUUGUUGUUGUUGUUGUUGUUGUUGUUGUUAUGAGCUUCAGAAAAGGAUAUUAAAUUCAAAAUUGUCCUAUGUGACUUGCUUUUUCACCAACACUAUAUGCCUAUUAUUUGUGUAUGGUAAUUUACAUAGAUGUGGACAUUAUUAUUUAGUGUUGCAAAAUAUCCCAUUUUAUGACUACAACACAAUUUUUUAAAUAAUAUUCUCUGCCCUUGGCUUACCCAUCUUUCAAGGGAUUCUGUAAACCUUUAAUUCCCUAUUAUUUAAUUGCGCUGAUAAACAUUUGGUUUGCUGUUAUUUUUAUUUUCCUUUUUUUCUUGUUUUGUUUUCUCUUUGGCAUUUUGCUACAAUAAGCAAGAUGGCCAGGUGCAUUCUUUAGAAAGUCUUUUUAAUGUACAUUUACAAGCGUUUUCCUACCUUAUUGACAAAGUACUUUUACUUGGCAGGACUUCCGUCGAGUUCCUGAACCUUCUCCUAGGCCUUUCUGUGCACUUUCUUAUAAAUCCAGUUUUAGCAAAGAACCCAGCUCAGUCAGUUUAGCACGAAUCUACCACACUCCAUAUCUGAUGACUUUCAAUAUCCAAUCCAAUUCUUCAUCCGCCACUGCUUCAUAGGUGAUACUGGCUCACACUGGCAUAUAUUCGGAAAGAAUCUGUUAAGUCUGUUCAUCUAGAAUGCCCCUUACCUUUGCAUCCAGUGACCUCCAUCCUACUCUUUGGGUAUGAAUUUCUACUUGCUCAUGCUAUAUUUGAAGUUCAGCCCAAUCUCUAUCCCCCACUGCAAGAACCCAUUGCAGUGGUCCCUAUGUUUAUUGCAAUAGCUUUGAAUGAAAUGCUUUAAUACAUACCAUUGAAUAAUCUUUUAUUUAAUAGUGCAUUCAUUAAAUAUACAAUUACUUAGGAGUAUCUGCAUUUUCUACUUUAAGCAAUGGAGCUAAAUUUUUUUUAGAAUUGAUUAUACUAAUUCCAAUUGCAAGCAUAUUAAAAAUAGCAAUUUCUCAUGUAUUUGCCUAGUUGUGGCAUUGUGUAGAUUUAGUGAUGUGCCAAUUUAAUAGACUUAAAUUGGUAUCUUAUUAUAGUUUUGGUGUGUAACCUCCUGACUAUAAAUAAGAUUAAAUAAUUUGCCUGUUUUAAUUUCUUACUUAUUUUAUAUUUUGUGAAAUACUUGUUAAAAUGACUGUCAAAUUUUCCAGUUAUGUUUUCAUCACUUUUUGCAGUUUAUUAAAUUCUCUAGAUACAAUACCAUUGAAAUACAUAUAUU
Long non-coding RNA from Cercocebus atys (sooty mangabey), 1957 nucleotides. RefSeq lists it as uncharacterized. The transcript is spliced from 3 exons. The record is from RefSeq and is a predicted model, not a curated record. Lineage: Eukaryota; Metazoa; Chordata; Mammalia; Primates; Cercopithecidae.